RNAcentral lists this ribosomal RNA (117 nucleotides) under uncultured bacterium. RNAcentral's name for it is "partial 16S ribosomal RNA". It matches the Rfam family "Bacterial small subunit ribosomal RNA", at positions 1369 to 1482 of the family's 1533-position model. The record is from RNAcentral.
CGUUCCCGGGCCUUGUACACACCGCCCGUCAAGUCAUGAAAGUCAGUAACACCCGAAGCCGGUGGCCCAACCCCUUGUGGGAGGGAGCCGUCGAAGGUGGGACCGGCGAUUAGGACU